This 318-nucleotide ribosomal RNA is filed under the name Basiliolella grayi. RNAcentral describes it as "partial 12S ribosomal RNA". The record is from RNAcentral. Lineage: Eukaryota; Metazoa; Brachiopoda; Rhynchonellata; Rhynchonellida; Basiliolidae.
UUUAGGGCACUACGAACACAACCCUUAAAACCCAAAGAACUUGGCGGCGUCCUAAACCCAAUCAGGGGAGCCUGUCCUAGAAUGGACAAUCCACAACUUAAAUAACUCUUCUUUGUAAUACCAGUCUGUAUACCGCCGUCGCCAGCACACCUAAAAAAGAAAAACAGUGUGCCCCAAAUCCCCCAUAAAACGUCAGGUCAAGGUGCARCCGAUAGAAGAGAAGAGAUGGGCUACAAUUGUUAACAACACCGAAAUCCACAAUGAAAAAAGGAAAAAGAAGGACUUGAAAGUAACARAAAAAAGAACUUCCGUAAAUAA